AAUGAACGCUGGCGGCGCGCCUAAUACAUGCAAGUCGAGCGAGAAGACGUAGCAAUACGUUUGUAAAGCGGCGAACGGGUGAGGAAUACAUGGGUAACCUACCCCUCGAGGUAGGGGAAUAACUACGACCGGUAAAGGUUAGACUAACUACCGCGUACGUCUUUCGUUGGUACGUUUCGGUUCGAGGGAAGGAAAGCGAUCGCCGGAGGGUAUCGCGC
This 218-nucleotide ribosomal RNA is filed under the name uncultured bacterium. Its description in RNAcentral is "partial 16S ribosomal RNA". It matches the Rfam family "Bacterial small subunit ribosomal RNA", at positions 29 to 236 of the family's 1533-position model. The record is from RNAcentral.